AUUGAACGCUGGCGGCAGGCCUAACACAUGCAAGUCGAGCGAGCGGCGGACGGGUGAGUAAUGCAUAGGAAGUUGCCCAGUAGAGGGGGAUACCAGUUGGAAACGACUGUUAAUACCGCAUACUACUGGAUACGCCUAUGUGGGAUUAGCUAGUUGGUGAGGUAAUGGCUCACCAAGGCGACGAUCCCUAGCUGGUCUUAGAGGAUGAUCAGCCACACUGGGACUGAGAAACGGCCAAGACUCCUACGGGAGGCAGGAGUGGGGAAUAUUGCACAAUGGGCGAAAGCCUGAUGCAGCCAUGCCGCGUGUAUGAAGAAGGCCUUCGGGUUGUAAAGUACUUUCAGUUGUGAGGCGGUAGCAACAGAAGAAGCACCGGCUAACUCCGUGCCAGCAGCCGCGGUAAUUC
Molecule: ribosomal RNA, 406 nt
Filed under: uncultured bacterium
Lineage: Bacteria
Description: partial 16S ribosomal RNA
Rfam family: Bacterial small subunit ribosomal RNA
Source: RNAcentral